Pyrus x bretschneideri (Chinese white pear) is the source of this 283-nucleotide long non-coding RNA. RefSeq lists it as uncharacterized. NCBI's taxonomy places the organism in Eukaryota, Viridiplantae, Streptophyta, Magnoliopsida, Rosales, Rosaceae. The transcript is spliced from 2 exons. The record is from RefSeq and is a predicted model, not a curated record.
GGCAACGGAAACGGGAGCGGGAACGGGAACAGUAACGGCUACGGGAACGGAGGACCACCUGCACUUUCUGAGAAUGGUACCCUGCCGGAACCGUUUGAGUGCCCAUUUUAAAAGGAUCAUUUGGUCGAAGAGCACAAGGAUGUGAAUAAGAUUUUGAACAUUCAGGCUAAGAAAGGAACAAAAGUUUUUUUUGAUAGUUUCUUUCAUUGAACGAGCGAGAUUUUGUCAGUAGGUUUUGUUGCUCGAUGAAUUUGGAUUGUAAAUUGGAACGCUUUUUCCUGUU